RNAcentral lists this ribosomal RNA (253 nucleotides) under uncultured bacterium. RNAcentral describes it as "partial 16S ribosomal RNA". It matches the Rfam family "Bacterial small subunit ribosomal RNA", at positions 524 to 776 of the family's 1533-position model. The record is from RNAcentral.
UACGUAGGUGGCGAGCGUUGUCCGGAUUUACUGGGCGUAAAGAGCGCGCAGGCGGUCGUACAAGUCGCGUGUGAAAGCCCCCGGCUCAACUGGGGAGGGUCACGCGAUACUGUUCGACUCGAAGGCAGGAGAGGGUAGUGGAAUUCCCGGUGUAGUGGUGAAAUGCGUAGAUAUCGGGAGGAACACCAGUGGCGAAGGCGACUACCUGGCCUGUUCUUGACGCUGAGGCGCGAAAGCUAGGGGAGCAAACGGG